UCCGUAGGUGAACCUGCGGAAGGAUCAUUAAUGAUUAACUGUCUGUCGAGCUUGCUCACAGACUUAUCAUAUCCAUAACACCUGUGCACUUGUCGGAUGGCUUAGUGAAGACCGCAAGGUUGGAACUAUCCAUCUACUUUACAUAACAAUUUAGUAACAAAUGUAGUCUUAUUAUAACAUAAUAAAACUUUCAACAACGGAUCUCUUGGCUCUCGCAUCGAUGAAGAACGCAGCGAAAUGCGAUAAGUAAUGUGAAUUGCAGAAUUCAGUGAAUCAUCGAAUCUUUGAACGCACCUUGCGCUCCCUGGUAUUCCGGGGAGCAUGCCUGUUUGAGUGUCAUGAAAACCCUCAACCUUAGAUUGGUUAACACCUUUCUUUGGCUUGGAUUUGGACGUUUGCCGAUGAUAAGUCGGCUCGUCUUAAAAGUAAUAGCUGGAUCUGUCUCGCGACAUGGUUUGACUUGGCGUAAUAAGUAUUUCGCUAAGGACAUCUUCGGAUGGCCGCGUUGCAAGACUAAAGACCGCUUUCUAAUCCAUUGAUCUUCGGAUUAAUAUUCUUGACAUCUGGCCUCAAAUCAGGUAGGACUACCCGCUGAACUUAAGCAUAUCAAUAAGCGGAGGA
RNAcentral lists this ribosomal RNA (621 nucleotides) under Naganishia albidosimilis. Its description in RNAcentral is "eukaryotic LSU rRNA". The stretch from base 186 to 339 matches the Rfam family "5.8S ribosomal RNA". RNAcentral also lists the same sequence under 1 other name. The record is from RNAcentral. Lineage: Eukaryota; Fungi; Basidiomycota; Tremellomycetes; Filobasidiales; Filobasidiaceae.